GAGAAGAGCAACGGCGGCGGCGGCGACCUAUGAAGAGGCGAGAGGAGCGGUGGUGGCGGCGUCGAGCUGCGAAGAGGCGUCGCUCGGGCGCGAGACCACGGAGGCUGGAGCGGCUGCUUCGGGCCCCGAUCUGAGAGGGUACGAGGCAGGGAAGGACGGCAUCGUCGCCGUCACAGGUCUUCCUUCAGUCCCUUUCGUUCCCUCUCCGGUUCAUCCUCUUCCCACCCUCGUAUUAGGAAAGUUCUAUUAGGAUCCGGUGCCACCGUGCGCCAUGAUUUCAGAUUGGCUUGCCUGCUACCCCGAACGGAUGCGCCACCCAGUCAGCCGAGCGAUGGCAGAAUAUGCUUUUGUAGAACUGCAUAUCUAUUUGUUAUGAAUCUAGAGUCUCAAAGCCAAUAAGUUGCUAAAUCAUUGACUGGCUGUUUCCAUGUUUGUAUUAUGCGCUUCUCACUCGGCGAGGGGAGCAUUAGGCCUCCUAUGGUCUGGAUUUCUCCAAAUGAUUAGGCUUUGCGAAAAUUGUGUACGCAUGUCUUACAGCCUGGGUAUUGCUCUUCUAGAUAUACUCUAUUGUUUUUGUUCACUUAAUUCUAAUGAGUAUUUAAACUUCUUCAAGCAUAUUGGACUUUUGAAUCUAUGUAGCCAGCACUUUGGAAUUUAUCUAGACAAGUAUUUUUGGUAAUGAUAUGUAUUUGCAAGCUUACUUCUCAGUUUUUCUAUUGUUGGGUACAUAUAGAUAAUUUCGUUGGGUAUCUACAAAGUACAUAUAGAUAAUUUUCGACCAUUUGUGACUGAAAGAUUUUUGCCAUAAGAAAAUUAACUCUGUCGAGCAGUGCUCGUUGUCAAGGAAAUGACGGGAAAUUGCUGAGCCUUAUUGAUUGGAAGAGGAAUGCUAAUCCUACAAAUAGAUCUAUAAUGAAUUGGACUUGAGAACAAUCAACAAAUAAUAAACAGUCCCAAAUUUGUAGAUGUUGUUUGAUUCAAAUACCGAUUUAAGCAUUUGGCGCAUCUAAAAUUCAUCAAAAAGGAUGUGCGAUUUUCUGCCUAAUCACUUAGUGUAUUGUUUGGUAAUCAGGUUAUCCUGGACCUCUUUGGGGACAACAUCACCAAGUUUCCUUCUUAUUGCACUGCAAGUUAAAAAAAGUCAGUGACUAAUGACUCUUCUUAUCUCUUUGUUCAUCCAUGUGCUUAGCUGCAAAAAUUCUAAAAAGAUACCCCUAAUGAGGGGUGGCGGAUGUGCGUCCUCUAGGGCCUCGUCGGCCAGAGAAGGAGGGGAGGAGCGGUUGCCGACGAGCGAGGUGGCUCUGUUUGGACCGGCCAUGGUGUUGGCUGUUGACUCCCACCGGUCUUGUCUCCCCCAACCCUUCCAUGGAGCUCGCUUAGCCACCGGCCGGCACAUCUUCUUGCUUACAACACCAAGGCCAUGUAGCUUACUUUUUAACUGUUAUUGCUGAUUGGAGCCAUUGCUAUUGGCUAUUUAUACAUAAGAUGGAAGGUGAAUUGAAAUUUUUGUGAGGGGGAUUGGAUUUUAUCCAGAUGGCUUGCUUCUCGUGAUGAGACUGAUACUAAUGAACUAAUGAAGACAUGAAGGUUGCAUCUUAUCCCCAUUUCCCUUUCUACAUUUGCCAUUUAGUCGAUUAACAUACAUUGUACUAUUUCCCUUUCUAUAGUUGCCAUUUAGUUGAUUAACAUACAUUGUACUAUUUUCGGUUAAGCACACUAUGGGUCAAUGAAUGUGGAAUUAGCUACUUUUUAUAUCCCUGGACCAUAUAUAUUACAUGCAUCAGUACUUGAUGCAUCUCUGAUAUGCUUUUGCUUUUUAUUGUUACCCUUAAUUACUACUUUUCUAUGAACCCAAUGUUUAGGUUGCAGGCUCAACUGCAUAUCUAUAUUCUCUGUAUGAAUUUUUUAGCUAGCUUUGAAGCGAAUGUGGUGAUCAAGGCUCUAAUAUGUAUUCUUUAUUUGCAUGAAUGUUGUGUGCAUAUAGGUACUUGCAAUGGAAUCUUUUUCUCAUAGACGAGAAGUACUUUGAAAACAGAUUUUAAAAAUUGAUAUAAUUUUACAAGUGUGCAGAUAGUUGACAAGGCAACAAUGCUAUUGUUCAAAUGUAGUCGAGCCGGGCCUUUGGUGUUUUCGGUGCUAUUGUUCAAAUUUUGCUUUCUUAGAUUCAUUGCAACCAAAAGAUUUGGUAAUAUUUUUUUUCUGGAAACAUGGAUACACUUGUUGGUGUUGUAUACUGGGAUCUGUAAGUAUUGUCAUAGGAAUUUUUUUAUCCUAAGGAUUCACACAGAUUGGAGGGGAAUUAGUAUCUAACAUCUUGUUAAAUGUACACAAACUGGUAUAUCUUCAUGGCUUUUAAGCUAUAUAAUUGUAGAUGAUAAUUUAUGCUUUGAUAAAGUAAUAUCUUACUUCUCGGUGCUUGGAUAAAAUAGUAUAGUUUGCUGAAAAUAUGUUCAUACUUUAUAUCACAGAAGUACAAACUGACAAUCAGCCUAUGGUGAAGUUAAAAGAAGCAAAAGUACUGUGUGUAUAAUCAUUAGAUUUGUUAAGGUGAAUCAGAUUUAUUUUUGCUGCUGUACGUAGAAUGCAGUUUAUCUUAAUUCCUGUUGCUGCGUUUGGCCCUACAUGUCGAUGGGUGUGGCCGCUCCCUUGUUAGUUUGUUGCUCGAUUUGGUUUGGUCCAAGGUAGGCUGUGUGUUGUCUACGUCUGUAUAUUCGUUGGCUGGAUAAGAAGAUUUUGCAGGUUUUUCUCUGGUAUGGUUGCUUCUGCUCUGAGUGCAGGUUCCUAUGAUUUCUAGACAGUGUAUUGGUUUUAAGGAUUGCUCGGUUAGUUUAAAAGUGCUUUGAUUUCCUUCUUGUCUUCUCGCACAGACCUUGAAGAUGGCUAGGUUUGCAUGGGCAUGGGGUUUGGUACACCUGGCCUCUAUUUAGAUUUGUUAAUAAAUUCAGUUUAUCACGAACACCAUAAAUGUGUUAUCAGUUUACUAUCUUGGCACAUGAGCUAUUUUUCAGUCAAUGCGUGCCGAGUCCACUUGGAACUGAAUAUGUAGUGUUUUCUUUGAAACUGAGUAACUGUGGUUGAAAUUUAGUUUCAUUUGGACGAGCUACCCAAGUAUCAUCAAUUCAUGAUGGCUAAUUUAUCUUGGUUCUUGAUGAAUCCGCCAUGGUCCUGAUUUAAGAGUUUUUAUGUUAUUUCUCAGCCUAUUUGAGCUAUUAUCGUUCUGUUUAACACACACAAUUGUAGCUGCCCUUUUUGAUUCAGAAAAAUGGUCUUCAUGUCUGUGGUUUGGUUAAACAUUUUCUCAGCAUAUCUCUAUUCAUCAGUCUUAACUCGCAUAACAUCCAAUAUAGUUUGUCUGAUCCAGACUAAAUGUUGGUUGUUGCUAUGUUUUGUGUGCAGUCUAUUUCUCUUCUAUCUUGGUCAUUAAAGAUGUGACAAGAAAGAAAUUUCAAAAGGUUUGAUAAUCUAGAAUGCUCAUAUGGAGUUAUUUGAACCAGUUCUUUUAGUAGCUGCUGAGACCAGAUGUAUCAGAAAAAUUUAAAAUAUACCAACAGUAGGGUUGACCAAUAAUGCUGAAUUGAUUCAGUCUUCAGGCCUUAUGCACAAUUUCCACAGUGUUAAGAUAAUAUAUGCUUUAAUGCUCCUGUGCACUGCUUUAAUGCUUCUGCUUGUUUGUCUGAAUCUUCUUGUUGUUCAUUAAUUUCUUGUCGCCUGCUGUUGCCCAUGAGGGGGAGUCGGACCCAUCAUGGAUAACCAUCCCUGAUGAGCUUUUAAUACAUACUGAUGGUGACAAAAUUGAUGCCAUUGUUCAGGUUGUAUACAAAGAUGUUCCUACUAGGUAUUCUGACGUUGAUUAUCUAAAAGAAAGAGCAAUUCUAACACCAACGAACCAAGUAGCUGAAAAUUAUAAACGAGCGCGUUCUAUCUUUAGUGCCUACCAGUGAGAGAGUACCUAAGCUGUGUCAAGUGUCUAUGCCUAUGUUUUAUAUGCAAAUACCUUUCCUCUUUUGCACAAACCAUGCUUCCUGUACAAUGAUAUUUAAUAGCAGCAAACUAAACAGGUUGGUUAGGAAACUGAAGCUGCAGCUACUGAAGAGCCAAAGAACAUUCUUGUUGAACAGGCUAAAGGCAAGAGGUAAAGACUCAUAGUCUGUUACAUCCAACCAGUUCAACGUACGAUAUGGCGUGCCGCCUCUUGUUCUUCCUUUACCUUGUCUUAUUUGACAACCAAAGCAUCCUUCUCUGUGGCUCUCAAAAUUGCUUUCUUCUUCACACGAUGCAUGUUAUGCCAUUUGAUCAAACUACUUUUCUGCCACAACUAUAUUCAAAUGGAUCAUAGGCCCAAUAAAACAUCAUUUUACUUCAAAAUCUAAUAUACGUUUUAUUUAUUUUCCUGUUGCAUGUACAGGCAACUCUUCCUGUUGCAUCAAAAGUAACUUGCUUCGUACAUGCAAACUAAUUAGCCAUAUAGUUAAAUUAGCUACGUAUUAAGAUUCGAUACAUCUACUGCUUAUUUAUGUUGUGUUCUAUUUGCUGUGUCCAAUCUUUAUGCGCUUGUUAUUUUUAUCACACUGUAAUCAAGCUUCUAUUGUUAUAGCAAUACGAAAUCCUAUGCAUCAAGCUUCUGUUCUUAUAGCAAUUACAGUUUUGAUACCUCUGUUUCUUUAUAUCAUCUUGUUGGGUUUCUGUUUCUCUUCAUAUAGGAUACAGAUAUAUGUGAUACUCAUGUGGUCCUUUCGCUGGAAACUUGCUAAUCUUAGGGGUGCUGCUACUGGUGUAAAAACCAUCUUAUCAAAAGAACUAAAGUACUCCCUCCGUUCCAAAAUAGAUGAACCAACUUUGUACUAGAGUUAGUACAAAAUUGGUUCAUCUAUUUUGGAAUGGAGGGAGUAGUAGCUAAUCCAAGCAUUGAAGAAUUGAUGCAGAGGUUACGCUAUAUUGGAAGUCAGAGCAGCGCGUGAAGACUACAUAAGAUAGUUUCUGGUGACCUUCAGUCUAUAUGUCCUAACCAACAACAGCCACCUUUUAUUUUGUAUCAAUCGAUCCAGUAUCUUUCCCCUUUUGGCGUUGCUCUGAGCAAGAUAUGUAUAGCCUUUAGAUUUCCAUUCGUGUAUGAUACUACAUGUACACUUUAGACCUCAUUACUGUCUCUGUGGUCAAAAGAAGUUUGUGAUCACUUGUUCUAUAUAUGUAAUCAACUGCCCUUCUACUAAUAUUUUCAGACGACUAUUUAUGUAUGUUUACACUGGUUAGAGAAAAUCAUCACACUGC
Molecule: ribosomal RNA, 5268 nt
Filed under: Triticum aestivum (bread wheat)
Lineage: Eukaryota; Viridiplantae; Streptophyta; Magnoliopsida; Poales; Poaceae
Description: partial small subunit ribosomal RNA
Source: RNAcentral